This is an unclassified non-coding RNA of Pongo abelii (Sumatran orangutan), 148 nucleotides long. It matches the Rfam family "Metazoan signal recognition particle RNA". From Rfam's summary of the family: The signal recognition particle (SRP) is a universally conserved ribonucleoprotein. The record is from Ensembl. NCBI's taxonomy places the organism in Eukaryota, Metazoa, Chordata, Mammalia, Primates, Hominidae.
GCCGGGUGUGGUGGUGCAUGCCUGUAAUUCCAGCUACUUAGGAGGCUGAGGCAGGAGAAUUGCUUGUACCUGGGAGGCGGAGGUUGCAGUGAGUCAAGAUUGUGCCAUUGCACUCCAGCCUGGGUGACAAAGUGAGACCCUGUCUCAU